UGGGGAAUAUUGCACAAUGGAGGGAACCCUGACCGAGCAACGCCGCGUGAGUGAAGAAGGUUUUCGGAUCGUAAAGCUCUGUUGUUAAGGAAGAACGAGUGUGAGAAUGGAAAGUUCAUGCUGUGACGGUACUUAACCAGAAAGGGACGGCUAACUACGUGCCAGCAGCCGCGGUAAUACGUAGGUCCCGAGCGUUGUCCGGAUUUAUUGGGCGUAAAGCGAGCGCAGGCGGUUAGAAAAGUCUGAUGUGAAAGCCCACGGCUCAACCGUGGAGGGUCAUUGGAAACUAAUAAACUUGAGUGCAGGAGAGAAAAGUGGAAUUCCUAGUGUAGCGAUGAAAUGCGUAGAGAUUAGGAGGAACACCGGUGGCGAAAGCGGCUUUUUGGCCUGCAACUGACACUGAGGCGCGAAAGCGUGGGGAGCAAACAGG
RNAcentral lists this ribosomal RNA (430 nucleotides) under Verrucomicrobiota bacterium. Its description in RNAcentral is "Verrucomicrobia bacterium partial 16S ribosomal RNA". It matches the Rfam family "Bacterial small subunit ribosomal RNA", at positions 355 to 776 of the family's 1533-position model. The record is from RNAcentral. Lineage: Bacteria; Pseudomonadati; Verrucomicrobiota.